This 83-nucleotide transfer RNA is filed under the name Oscillospiraceae bacterium. Its description in RNAcentral is "tRNA-Leu". It matches the Rfam family "tRNA". From Rfam's summary of the family: Transfer RNA (tRNA) molecules are approximately 80 nucleotides in length. Their secondary structure includes four short double-helical elements and three loops (D, anti-codon, and T loops). The record is from RNAcentral. Lineage: Bacteria; Bacillati; Bacillota; Clostridia; Eubacteriales; Oscillospiraceae.
GCGGAUAUGGUUGUAUUGGCAGACACGAUAGACUUAGGAUCUAUUGCGCAAGCGUGCAGGUUCAAGUCCUGGUAUCCGCACCA